GGGUAGAGCUCAGGGGUAGAGUGUGUGCUUAGCAUUCACAAGGCCCUGGGUUCAAUCCCCAGCAUCUCCCCC
Molecule: transfer RNA, 72 nt
Filed under: Marmota monax (woodchuck)
Lineage: Eukaryota; Metazoa; Chordata; Mammalia; Rodentia; Sciuridae
Description: tRNA.Ala
Rfam family: tRNA (bases 7-62)
About the family: Transfer RNA (tRNA) molecules are approximately 80 nucleotides in length. Their secondary structure includes four short double-helical elements and three loops (D, anti-codon, and T loops). Further hydrogen bonds mediate the characteristic L-shaped molecular structure. tRNAs have two regions of fundamental functional importance: the anti-codon, which is responsible for specific mRNA codon recognition, and the 3' end, to which the tRNAs corresponding amino acid is attached (by aminoacyl-tRNA synthetases). tRNAs cope with the degeneracy of the genetic code in two manners: having more than one tRNA (with a specific anti-codon) for a particular amino acid; and 'wobble' base-pairing, i.e. permitting non-standard base-pairing at the 3rd anti-codon position.
Source: RNAcentral